This 429-nucleotide ribosomal RNA is filed under the name Bacteroidota bacterium. Its description in RNAcentral is "Bacteroidetes bacterium partial 16S ribosomal RNA". It matches the Rfam family "Bacterial small subunit ribosomal RNA", at positions 355 to 776 of the family's 1533-position model. The record is from RNAcentral. Lineage: Bacteria; Pseudomonadati; Bacteroidota.
UAGGGAAUCUUCGGCAAUGGGGGGAACCCUGACCGAGCAACGCCGCGUGAGUGAAGAAGGUUUUCGGAUCGUAAAGCUCUGUUGUUAAGGAAGAACGAGUGUGAGAAUGGAAAGUUCAUGCUGUGACGGUACUUAACCAGAAAGGGACGGCUAACUACGUGCCAGCAGCCGCGGUAAUACGUAGGUCCCGAGCGUUGUCCGGAUUUAUUGGGCGUAAAGCGAGCGCAGGCGGUUAGAAAAGUCUGAAGUGAAAGGCAGUGGCUCAACCAUUGUAGGCUUUGGAAACUGUUUAACUUGAGUGCAGAAGGGGAAAGUGGAAUUCCAUGUGUAGCGGUGAAAUGCGCAGAGAUAUGGAGGAACACCGGUGGCGAAAGCGGCUCUCUGGUCUGUAACUGACGCUGAGGCUCGAAAGCGUGGGGAGCGAACAGG